This 497-nucleotide ribosomal RNA is filed under the name uncultured bacterium. RNAcentral describes it as "partial 16S ribosomal RNA". It matches the Rfam family "Bacterial small subunit ribosomal RNA", at positions 28 to 507 of the family's 1533-position model. The record is from RNAcentral.
GAUGAACGCUGGCGGCGUGCCUAAUACAUGCAAGUCGAGCGAACGGACGAGGAGCUUGCUUCUCUGAUGUUAGCGGCGGACGGGUGAGUAACACGUGGAUAACCUACCUAUAAGACUGGGAUAACUUCGGGAAACAGUAUCUAAUACCGGAUGAUAUUUUGAACCGCAUGGGUCAAAAGUUAAAGACGGUCUUUCUUUCACUUAUAGAUGAAUCCGGGCUUCAUUAGCUAGUUGGGAAGGUAAAGGCUUACCAACGCAAGGAGGCAUAGCCGACCUGACAGCGUAGUCGGCCACACUGGCACAGAGACACGGUCCAGACACCUACGGGGGGACGCAGUAGGGAAUCUUCCGCAAGGGGCGAAAGCCUGACGGAGCAAAGCCGGGUGAGUGAUGAGGGUCUUCGGAUCGUAAAACUCUGUUAUUAGGGAAGAACAAAUGUGUAAGUAACUGUGAAGAUAUUGACGGUACCUAAUCAGAAAGCCCCGGCUAACUACGUG